UGUGGCUUUUUGUUGUUUUUUUUUUUUUUGGUUUUGGUUUUUGCUUCUGAUUUUGCCUUUUGCAAGUUUUUGGUUUUAUAUAGACCCAAGGAUCACGGCUUCAAUUUGGAUUUUCUUGUAGGUGUAUUUUUAACCUCUUGGCUCAUACUUUUAAUGGGGAUUUAUUAUUUAUUGUUAUUUUAUUGAAAGAAGCUUAAUUUUUGGUCGUAGUCCUAAUCCCCCUUUUUUCCUGCUGCGUUUUUUGGCUGGGCUUUUUCUAAAGGGGGAACAGCCUGCUUUGAACAAAAUUCUCAGAGGAUUAUGUUGGGUUGUUUUUGGUUUGUUUUUUUUCCUUUCCAGGACUGUAAAUGCCUCCGGGACCAAAGCCACAUCCUGCCAGGAGGCUUUCCCACCUGCCUGCCGUGUCUCCUUGGCAGGAAAUGAAGAGGGCACUUCAGAGAUCUGAGAACUACGGCUGAAAGAGUGAGGAAGAGUCUAGGCUUCCUUUCAUUCUAUCUUAUGUGGGAUCAAAUGGAACCUUGGCAUACAUGUUUGGAAAGUGGCAGAGACACACAGUCAUCAAGUUCAUACCAGCUCAGGCCCACCAUCUCCCUUGUCAGGCCCAGCUUCCUGUUUUGAUUGAUGAGACAACGGAGGCCCAGAGAAGUUAAGUGACUUGCCCAAGG
Long non-coding RNA from Ornithorhynchus anatinus (platypus), 665 nucleotides. RefSeq lists it as uncharacterized. The record is from RefSeq and is a predicted model, not a curated record. Lineage: Eukaryota; Metazoa; Chordata; Mammalia; Monotremata; Ornithorhynchidae. The transcript has 4 exons.